GUAGUCUCGCACAGAUGCAUAUCAAUAAGCGGAGGAAAAGAAACUAACAAGGAUUCCCCUAGUAACGGCGAGUGAAGCGGGAAGAGCUCAAAUUUGAAAUCUUAAAGGGUUUCCCUUUACGAAUUGUAGUUUAAAGAAGUGUUUUCUGUUGAGGUUUUGGUAAAAGUUCUUUGGAAUAGGACAUCAUAGAGGGUGAGAAUCCCGUAUUUGACCUUUACUUUCAACUUUGUGAUACACUUUCAAAGAGUCGGAUUGUUUGGGAAUGCAGUCCAAAAUGGGUGGUAAAUUUCAUCUAAAGCUAAAUAUUGGCGAGAGACCGAUAGCGAACAAGUACCGUGAGGGAAAGAUGAAAAGAACUUUGAAAAGAGAGUUAAACAGUACGUGAAAUUGUCAAAAGGGAAGCGUUUGACACCAGUGUUGUUUUUCUGAAAAUCAAUUAAAGAACUGUUUAUGCUAAGUUGUUUAGACUUUAUCAGCUAACUGUUUAGUUUUGAGCUUUUCUUUAAUGCACUUUUCAGUUAACAAGUCAACAUCAAUUUCUUUUGCUGUAAAAAAGCUUGAGGAAGGUGGCUUGAGAUUCGUCUUAAGUGUUUAUAGCCUCUUGCCUAUGCAGUCGGAGAGAUUGAGGUCUGCAGCGUAGAUCCUUCGGGGCUAAAUGCAUUUGUGCUAAGUUAUAGCAUUUUAUAGACAACUUGUUGACUAUGAUUUGUCUUGUAGCUUACUCGCUUAUGUUAUUUUACCUACGCUUAGGAUGUUGAUCUGUAGUGCGUGCGCC
This 775-nucleotide ribosomal RNA is filed under the name uncultured Neocallimastigales. RNAcentral describes it as "partial large subunit ribosomal RNA". It matches the Rfam family "Eukaryotic large subunit ribosomal RNA", at positions 24 to 648 of the family's 3401-position model. The record is from RNAcentral. Lineage: Eukaryota; Fungi; Neocallimastigomycota; Neocallimastigomycetes; Neocallimastigales.